ACACCAGACUCCUACGGGAGGCAGCAGUGAGGAAUAUUGGUCAAUGGGCGGAAGCCUGAACCAGCCAAGUCGCGUGAGGGAAGAAGGCCCUGCGGGUCUCAGACCUCUUUGGACGGGGAGCAAGGCCGCCGACGUGUCGGCGGAAGGAGAGUACCCGUAGAACAAGCAUCGGCUAACUCCGUGCCAGCAGCCGCGGUAAUACGGAGGAUGCGAGCGUUAUCCGGAUUUAUUGGGUGUAAAGGGCGCGUAGACGGAGAAACAAGUUGGUUGUGAAAUCCCUCGGCUCAACUGAGGAACUGCAACCAAAACUAUUUCCCUUGAGUGUCGGAGAGGAAAGUGGAAUUCCUAGUGUAGCGGUGAAAUGCGUAGAUAUUAGGAGGAACACCAGUGGCGAAGGCGACUUUCUGGACGAUAACUGACGUUGAGGCACGAAAGUGUGGGGAGCAAACAGGAUUAGAUACCCCGGUA
Molecule: ribosomal RNA, 468 nt
Filed under: uncultured bacterium
Lineage: Bacteria
Description: bacterial SSU rRNA
Rfam family: Bacterial small subunit ribosomal RNA
Source: RNAcentral